RNAcentral lists this ribosomal RNA (429 nucleotides) under Chloroflexota bacterium. Its description in RNAcentral is "Chloroflexi bacterium partial 16S ribosomal RNA". It matches the Rfam family "Bacterial small subunit ribosomal RNA", at positions 355 to 776 of the family's 1533-position model. The record is from RNAcentral. Lineage: Bacteria; Bacillati; Chloroflexota.
UGGGGAAUAUUGCACAAUGGGCGCAAGCCUGAUGCAGCCAUGCCGCGUGUAUGAAGAAGGCCUUCGGGUUGUAAAGUACUUUCAGCGGGGAGGAAGGGAGUAAAGUUAAGACCUUUGCUCAUUGACGUUACCCGCAGAAGAAGCACCGGCUAACUCCGUGCCAGCAGCCGCGGUAAUACGGAGGGUGCAAGCGUUAAUCGGAAUUACUGGGCGUAAAGCGCACGCAGGCGGUUUGUUAAGUCAGAUGUGAAAUCCCCGGGCUCAACCUGGGAACUGCGUGUGAUACUGGAAAGCUUGAGUAUGGUAGAGGGGGGUAGAAUUCCAGGUGUAGCAGUGAAAUGCGUAGAGAUCAGGAGGAAUACCGGUGGCGAAGGCGGCCCCCUGGACGAAGACUGACGCUCAGGUGCGAAGGCGUGGGGAGCAAACAGG